AUUAAUUUUCGUCGAGUACUUUUCUGCCAGAAUCGCUAAUUAGGAAAUCCAGAAAAAGGAUACUCUCUGUCAUACUCUGCCGAUAGGCCGACCGCGCUAGCAAGUUUCUUCUUCAUCCCAAUAGUUUCGUUUACAUGAAAAGUUACCCCAUAGCCCUGUAAAUAUCGAGAACAUUGACUCCUAGACAACCGAUCUACAUCUUGAACUGAAGUAAUUGGAGGCAAAUCAGGGUCCGGAUUAUUACCAUUAAUAAAGGGAACAGGCGAAAUCACGUAUGCACCCUUCCUAAGAUCUCUAUUUUCCGCACGAACUGAACGCAUAUCGAGAGUAUUGACCUUAUUUGUGAAAUUAAUCAUAUUUUCUUGCAUGGUGUUCAUGGUCCCUUGCAUAGUGUUCAUGGUCCCUUGCAUAGUAUUUAUGGUUCUUUGUAAAUCUGCCAUACCGCUCAUUAAAAAGUUGAGAGUCCUAUUCUGCUCCUCGCGGUCUCUUUGGUACCAAAGUGGCGGUUGAACUUGGCUUUCUCUCUCAAUUUCCAACGCGGUCCACUCAUCCACUCGACGUUGAAACCUUUUUACGCGCUCAUUUGUACGAAUCUCCUCUUCAUUCAGGUGAGUUUUGUUCUCAAGGGCCCUUCCCUCACUCUCUAAUAUUCUAUUUCUCGCUUCUAUUCUUCUUUUCUCGAAUUCAACUCGAAAGUCGUUUAAAAAUCUAUUUCCCUCCUUUGAAGAGGAUUCAGUUGGUGGA
Schizosaccharomyces pombe (fission yeast) is the source of this 744-nucleotide non-coding RNA. NCBI's taxonomy places the organism in Eukaryota, Fungi, Ascomycota, Schizosaccharomycetes, Schizosaccharomycetales, Schizosaccharomycetaceae. The record is from the annotation of a GenBank genome assembly.